RNAcentral lists this non-coding RNA (35 nucleotides) under unclassified sequences. Its description in RNAcentral is "DUF805b RNA". It matches the Rfam family "DUF805b RNA". From Rfam's summary of the family: Bacteroidetes, Chlorobi (1 example), Proteobacteria. The record is from RNAcentral.
AUAGCGGAAACCGAAAAGCUAAAAAAGAGUAGGUG